RNAcentral lists this ribosomal RNA (497 nucleotides) under uncultured bacterium. RNAcentral describes it as "partial 16S ribosomal RNA". It matches the Rfam family "Bacterial small subunit ribosomal RNA", at positions 28 to 507 of the family's 1533-position model. The record is from RNAcentral.
GAUGAACGCUGGCGGCGUGCCUAAUACAUGCAAGUCGAGCGAACGGACGAGAAGCUUGCUUCCCUGAUGUUGGCGGCGGACGGGUGAGUAACACGUGGAUAACCUACCUAUAAGACUUGGAUAACUUCGGGAAACCGGAGCUAAUACCGGAUGAUAUUUUGAACCGCAUGGUUCAAAAGUGAAAGACGGUCUUGCUGUCACUUGUAGAUGGAUCCGCGCUGCAUUAGCUAGUUGGUAAGGUAACGGCUUACCAAGGCAACGAUGCAUAGCCGACCUGAGAGGGUGAUCGGCCACACUGGAACUGAGACACGGUCCAGACUCCUACGGGAGGCAGCAGUAGGGAAUCUUCCGCAAAGGGCGAAAGCCUGGCGGAGCAACGCCGCGUGAGUGAUGAAGGUCUUCGGAUCGUAAAACUCUGUUAUUAGGGAAGAACAUAUGUGUAAGUAACUGUGCACAUCUUGACGGUACCUAAUCAGAAAGCCACGGCUAACUACGUG